UUGCUUUUACUGUGUUUAGUUAUUGAUCAGCAAACACCACCACCUCCCCGUGGCCCAUCUCACCUGGCUGUAAAGAGGGAGAAACUGCCUUAGUAGCCCAAGUUUGUUAGCCUUCAAGAUGUGCUUCAAAGUUCCUAUUUUCUCUGUAUUCUUCAGGGAAAAGGAUAAAUAUGUGGAAUUUGGGUGAUAUUUCUUACGAGGUUUAUAGUAUAAUGUUGAUUAAGUCACUCUGUCUGUGAUAAUUUUGUUUAACAAAUAUAUAUAUUUCUGGUGGCACAGAUACAGUUUUGUGCCACCAGAUAUUCAAUAAGAGUGAUGAGAGCCAUUUAAGUGUAUUACAAAGGAAGUCUGGGGGUGACCCGGUGAGAAUCUGUUGCUCUGGUUGUAUUUCAUGUGGCCUGCAACUGCUUUGAAUUUGGGAACUUCCAUGAGUGUCGUAGCUCAUUAAUACUAGAAGAGCUUGCGAAUUGUUACGAAGUUGGUUAAUAUUGGAGUUUCUGGUGUUGUAGGUGUAUUCCUUCUUGUGCAUCGGUGCUUCAUUCACAGUGGAGCUUUUUUCAGAGUCCUUUUUUCACAGAUGUUGUAAUAUUUUCCUAAACCUUUCACUCUUAAAUUAACAUUAGGGUAUGGAGGACACUUAGUCUUUUUUUUUGUUCCUGUGGCAAUGUUCACUUGCAUGGCUCUCUUCUGCAUAUUUCCUUAAAAAAAUAGCACUUAAUCACUUUCUUCCAGCUGAGAUUUAUCACUGCAAAAUUAGGGUUAGGGUUUACUGUUUACUCCCAGAAUCAAUUUUCCUUAUUCCCCUGAUGAUAGGAGUUUGCAGAUAUAUCAGUCCCCAGCCUGUGCAUUGAGGUUUUGCCACAAUACGGGUGGCUCAGCUUUAUUUCGGAGAUCAUCUGGCUCCACAAAGCCGAGGGCCCAAAGGGUGUUUGUAUUUGUUUUGUAUUGACAGAGUCUUGUUGACUUGAACGGGGAGUUUCCUCUGGGGAUGCUCUGGAAAGAAAGUUGCCUGGGACUGGAAAACGAACGGGGAUUUUGUGUAGUUUGCUUCUUUCUUUGUUUCCUGUUAAAUAUUUUGAUUUCUUGUAUUCCCCUAAAGGCUCAAUUCUGGCUGUAAUGAAGCUGUGGGUAAGGCGCCUUCUCUAAUCAGGCUAAAGCUCAUGUUCCCAGAAGGAGCAUCUAAUCCAUUAAGCCUCUCUGCCAUCUAAACACUUCACUUUCCUUUUCAAACCUGCUCCUCAGCUCUGCCAGGAGCUCUGUUCUCCUGUCAGCCUGGGUCUUCAGUAUCUUUUCCUUCUCUUUUCUUGAUUUCCUCCAAUUUGUCAUUGCAUAUUUUUAAGUUUGUCUUAAUCUUCAGAUAUGACUUUAAUCUACAAUCCCUGGAGACUUCUGGCUGGGAGAACAAGAAGAAAGUGUUUGAAGUGUUGUAUUGUUCACUACUGAGGCUGAAUUGUCUGCUCGUUAGAGAACAGCGUUACUGUGUGGCUACUGGAAUCACCAGAAAGGUGGUGGGUUUUCUUUUCUCCUUGUUUUCUGCAGCUGUACAGGAGCAGCUGCUUUAAUUGCCGGAUGGUUCUUCCUCUUAUGUCCCAUGAUGUGCAGACCUCUGUGCUCCUGUUCACUGCUGGAGAACCUCUGUUAGCCAAUCCAAGUGCUUUUGCAAUAACAUGAGGGAUAUUUAAAUAAAAUCAUAUUGCAGUUAUGCAAUUCCUUAUGUUGAAAUAUAAUCCAUUUUCUCUGGCUGGAAUGUACAUGUUUUUUGUCUGGCUUUGGCUACUCAUGCUCUCUCUGUGCUUCAUGAUAAAAUGCUAAAAUGAGACAAAAUGCAGUAAAUGUAAAUCACAUGAAAAAGGAAUUAGGCAUGAGAUGAUGAUGAGAGAUGGGUGUGUAUCCAAAGAGACUGUGACUCCAACUUCAGUGGAACAGGACUGAGUGUGUAUUUGAAGAUGUCGACAGAGAGGACUUGUAGCAUAUAUUAUGGACAGAUGUUGGUAGUAAUUUAUUUACUUUACCUAAGUAGCUCUUUGCCUUGCUGAGGACUGGUGGCAGCAGCAGCCUUUGGUUACCUAUCCAGACUGGCAUAAAGGAGGAGGCAAAGAGAGGAGAAAGACUGAUUUGAAAAUAAAGUACUUCUGUUUUAUUGAUAGGGAACCAAGAUCCAUCUGACAGCGAGGGCUUGUGAAGACUUGAGAAUGUGCCAUGUAUUUUUAACAUCAGCAGCCUCUCCUGCAUAAGUAGAGAAAUUUUGCUGUCAGCAUUCCCUGCCGGAUGAGAUGGCAAAGAGCAAUUGCAAACGGCGAGCUUUUCAGCAAAGAGCUGCUAAGGAGAAAAUGUCUGUGACUUGGAGUCUCUGGAAGAUCUACGCCAGCAUCUUGUCCUCCAAACUGCUUGUGUAUCUCAUCAGAUCUGGGAACAGGUCCCUGUAAGAUCCAGCUCUGACCUCCCCCUGGUGCUUUAUCCUGCCUGUUCUCAGCAGGUUUUGGGGUGGGAAGUCUCUGGAGGCUUUAAGGAUGAGGCUUUUUCCAGACUCCUGGUAAAAAUAGUUCCUCAGCUCCAGCUACUCUUGAAGGGCUGUUAAUCUUCCAUAUAGAUUUUAGUCAUAAAUAUACUUCUUGUUAUCAUUAUGGGCUAAUACCACAAACCAAAUUCUCAAUUAAAUGUACCAAUCUAAUGAUUAGCCUGGAAGUUUCCAGAGGAAAUAUAUAGAUGUCCACAGAUGUGCAUAUGGACACAUGUAUGUAAGAUUUCUGCUGGAGCACCCUAAAUGUAUUCAAGCAGUUUCAGUAACCAAAUCCAAGACCUAAAGGUUAUCAAUUACACUAUGAGAGAAGCAGUAGUUUUCCAGAUUGCAGGUCCCUCGGUGAUUAUGAAUGCUUCUCUAGCACCUGCUUUCCACUGAUAAGGGGUAGGAGUAAUAAAUUCUUCUGAGACUGCUUUUCCCUGGCCAGGUAGACAUGUGGAUGAAAGACUGCAAGCUUCAAUCUGUAAUGCCACCUGUUGGGAAGUAUAUCUAGAGCAGCAAUAAGAAAGAGGGAAAUUGGGGUGGAAUGGUGUUUUUUUUUAAAAAAAACCCAAUCUUUCUGCACAAAUGGUUGAAUAAAUUAGAGAAAUAUGUUCAUUUCAGCAGUAUAAGCUUCAAAGAAACACCCGAGGUGCCCUGAGGGCGUUGUGCAUCCACUGCAUCCCCUGCUUUUGGUAUUCUCCCAGUUGCGCCUUCACUCCGUGCAUCCCCCGUUCCUGCUGCAGAAGAGGCGGCUGCUCGUGAGCUCCACGGCUGGUGUGGGCAAAGGAAGCUCGUCCUGCAAGGGGCUUCUUGAGUAACUUCUCACCACCACUUGUCAGAUAUUCCUGAAGAUGACACAAUGAAAACUAAAUUGAUUAAGCCACGAGAUGCAGAGAAACACCUGAUUAUUCAUUUUCUAGCUUUUCAUUUACAUCCUGUUGUUUUUCUGCUCUAUUGCUGGUUGGAAAAUUUUCCUUUAUUUUACUUUUUCUCCCUCCUCACCCUUUUUCUGGCAGGAAGUAUUGACUUCUUCCAAAAACCACAAUGAGAAACCACAGUUUUUCAACUAAGUACAGUCAUCUGUCUGGGGAAAAAAAAGUCAGCUGGAUUCAAAGUCAACUUCAUAACAAAAGUCACCCUGGCUCAGUGCCAUGUCCAUCUCAUGGGAGUCUAGGAAUUGCCUGCUUGUCUCUGCUGCAGCUUUUUGGGAUUGUUCUUGAAAGUGGACGUGUCCUUCAAGAUUUUGCUGGGUCAGUCCUGAAGCUUUCAACAGCAAGUGAGGGUUUGGAUUCCUUUUGUGUUAUGUUAUCAGGGCCAGGACGACUUUGUACGAAGUCACUUGGGAUUGAAAAGAAGGGAACAAGGGUCUAACAGCCCCCAAUCAGCAGCUUAAUAUAUGUACAGGUUCUUUGGAUGUCUCUGCAGCGUCAUUCUGAAGUUCCAGGGGUGGUAUUAUACUAUGUAUUGGAGCAGGCAGGGUGGAAGCACAAUAUUUGGAUGGCUGCACUUGUGGGAUUUGCACAUGGUGAGGGCUUUGCCCCUGAAGCAAAGCUGGCUCCUGCCACCACUACUGCAAUCUCUCCCCUUGUCAUAAAAUUGCACGGGCAGGAGCUGUGGGGUUUCCUGAGCUCAUCCUUGCUCGUGGCAAUCACUGCUUUCCACUCAUAGUAGGUUAGGACAAAUCAUCUGUUCUUCCUCCCCAUCCUGCAGUCCAGAAAGAUACUGAUACGAGUCAGCUCCUUUUUGGUGGCACCUUCAUUGCCACGAGCUCUUGGGAGUGCAGUUCCCUGGAGUGUUUCUCAAAUGGUCUGGAGUCUGGAAGUGACGACACCGUGGUGUCAGCUGGCCUCUGCUGUGUGCCUGUUUUAUCACAGCUUCCAGCAGUCCUUUUGGUUCACCGCAUCUUUCAGAUAGCAUUGAUUUCAGAUGAAUGUUUCUUAUCUCAGAUCAUAUCUCCAUUUCUGUGUGAUAAGGAAACCUAUUUUUUUUUACUUAUGAGAUUAUGUGGCAUACAUUUGUUGGAGAGUAAUUUCACUAAUUCUCCUUGGGUACACUGACAGCACAAUUAUCAUCUCACUUGACAGCUGUUCCCUUGAAUUUUAAACACCCAAAACACAUCCAAGGGCAUGCGAGGAAUUUGGUGGUAUUACUGUCUGUUGCUAAGAAGUGUUGAGCUUUUGGGGAGGAAAAAGUGUAUUUCUACAAUCCCAGAGAAGACAUAUCAAAACAUGUAGAUGCCAGUUAUCUGACUAGAAGGGAUUUGGGAAAUAUUAUCAGAUUUAAGAAUGAAAACUUACAACUAGCAAAAUUACCAGAGGCAGCAAUUGUGAUCAAACAGUUGAGCAAACGAGAUAAAACAGAAAAA
This is a long non-coding RNA of Columba livia (rock pigeon), 4868 nucleotides long. RefSeq lists it as uncharacterized. The transcript has 2 exons. Lineage: Eukaryota; Metazoa; Chordata; Aves; Columbiformes; Columbidae. The record is from RefSeq and is a predicted model, not a curated record.